CCGAGCGGGCUGGGGCUGAGGAGCGGCUGCCGGGAGCGGGACAGAGGGGGGUGCGGAGAGGGGCUUCGGCUGGUUUUUGAGGCUGCCCAGUGGGGAGGAGGCAGGCAGAGUGGCUUCAGAUCUGCUCUCAGGGGUGGUGGUUAGCGCCGCGGAGUUUCAUGGAUCCCAAAGCUGCCGGGGAAGCGCCCGGUGAAGCCGCAGGAGCCCUGGCACAGGCCUGAGCCGCCCCAGCCCGGCGCGGCCUUCCCCCUCAGCUCCCGCCGCUCCCGCCCGAGCCCUUCGGGCCGAAAGGGCUCCUGAGGGGACAGCCCAGGGUGGGAACCCGAGCACGGGAGAGCUCCAGCGCCGCUCUAGCAGAGACAGCCACAUCAAGAGUUAACCCGAAAGUGAAACUGAACGAGCGGUUUCAGAAAAUUCUGGAAUAUCACCAUCCACCCCUCCCCUCCCUGUCGGGAUAUAUUCGGCCGUUUCCCUUCCUCCCUCCGAGCACAACAGACACAACAGAGGCUGGUGGCGAGGGGAGCCGCGGUCCCACGGUACUGGGAUUAGAGCAGACUCAUCGCAGCUCUUACUCCCAGCCAGCCGACCAUGGGUUUAAAAUGCUUAUGCAUUGGCCUCCUCGUGGGACUUGUCAUUGGAGCUGCAUUCAUAGCCGUGGCAAGUGGUGCACCAGUAGCCAUAGCUGCAGCAGGGGUUAGCAAGACCAAGGCUGCUGCCUUCAUUUUGACAGUCGGUGA
Onychostruthus taczanowskii (white-rumped snowfinch) is the source of this 737-nucleotide long non-coding RNA. RefSeq lists it as uncharacterized. The transcript has 4 exons. The record is from RefSeq and is a predicted model, not a curated record. Lineage: Eukaryota; Metazoa; Chordata; Aves; Passeriformes; Passeridae.